RNAcentral lists this ribosomal RNA (403 nucleotides) under uncultured bacterium. RNAcentral's name for it is "partial 16S ribosomal RNA". It matches the Rfam family "Bacterial small subunit ribosomal RNA", at positions 28 to 526 of the family's 1533-position model. The record is from RNAcentral.
GACGAACGCUGGCGGCGUGCCUAAUACAUGCAAGUCGAACGCAGUGGGGACGGGUGAGUAACACGUGGGUAACCUCCCAUCAGAGGGGAUAACACUUGGAAACAGGUGCUAAACCGAUACUGAUGGAUGGACACGCGGUGCAUUAGCUAGUUGGUGAGGUAACGGCUCACCAAGCCCACGAGGCAUAGCCGACCUGAGAGGGGGAUCGGCCACACGGGGACUGAGACACGCCCCAGACGCCUACGUGAGGCAGCAGUAGGGAAUCUGCGGCAAUUGACGAAAGUCUGACCGAGCAACGCCGCGUGAGUUAAGAAGGUUUUCGGUGCGUAAAACUCUGUUGUUAGAGAAGCGGUAUCUAACCAGAAAGCCACGGCUAACUACGUGCCAGCAGCCGCGGUAAUUC